Long non-coding RNA from Dipodomys spectabilis (banner-tailed kangaroo rat), 114 nucleotides. RefSeq lists it as uncharacterized. Lineage: Eukaryota; Metazoa; Chordata; Mammalia; Rodentia; Heteromyidae. The record is from RefSeq and is a predicted model, not a curated record. The transcript has 4 exons.
CCAAGCGUCCAUAAGAGACAGUCAUUUGUCAUUUUUUUAUCAAGAAACAGGGUUUGUUAUACUGUUAGCAAUGUCAACUUUAGAUUCACAGUGCAUUUUCAAAAAUAGUAAUAA